RNAcentral lists this long non-coding RNA (288 nucleotides) under Vigna radiata. RNAcentral's name for it is "long non-coding RNA (VRAD_LNC002359)". The record is from RNAcentral. Lineage: Eukaryota; Viridiplantae; Streptophyta; Magnoliopsida; Fabales; Fabaceae.
AGAGAUGAUUGAUACUGGGCCUCAAGGACCACAUACACAAUUUUAACCGUUGGCAAGUUUUGGUCAUUCUCUGGGACAAUUCUACGAACUUCUGGGCUGGUUUGGGUGAAUAGACCAUUGCCAACGGCAGCGCAUUUCACUCUCAGAGAGGAUUUUGAGCUACCAUUAUAACCAGCCUUCUUGGGAAGGAAAGAAUGAAGAAAAAGACGCUUUUGGGCAAGAGAAUGAAGCUGGUCAGGUUUAGAGCUUGGUAGAGUAAACGGUGAAGAUACUAAAGAAGCCAUUGAU